Molecule: long non-coding RNA, 247 nt
Filed under: Brassica napus (rape)
Lineage: Eukaryota; Viridiplantae; Streptophyta; Magnoliopsida; Brassicales; Brassicaceae
Description: long non-coding RNA (BNAP_LNC009725)
Source: RNAcentral
GGCGGAGUAUCGAGGAGAACUUCGACUGAUCUGAACCCAUGGAACUGAACUAAUCUUGGACAGCACCUCCACUUGAUUGUAGGAGAAUAUGACUGGCUUGGACGGAUUGAAUUGGACAGAGCUUCCGCGUCACAAUCGUAGAGAAUCGCCGAUUGGACGGAACUGGCCUUCUCGGUGGAGUAUCGGUCUUCAGAACUCAGCUACACUUUCUUUCUCUCUCUCUCUAACCACGUUGACUUGCUUCCCA